GGAUAAUUGGAAAGUCCCUGUGUGUCAACCUUUGUGCUUCGUGGCAAGGUAGACUAGCAAACAUGCCCAACCUUUACUCACAUUCGAGACAACACUCCCAACAAGAUUGCUUGCUCCAAAAUCGAAGAGGUACCGCCCUCCGAAUCUCGAGAGCCAGACUCCCAACAUGAUUACUUCCUCAAAAAUCGAAGAGACACUGCUCUCCGAAUCUCGAGAGCCAGACCCCCAGCAUGAUUGCUUUCUCAAAAAUCGAAGAGGC
Molecule: long non-coding RNA, 259 nt
Filed under: Malus domestica (apple)
Lineage: Eukaryota; Viridiplantae; Streptophyta; Magnoliopsida; Rosales; Rosaceae
Description: long non-coding RNA (MDOM_LNC006416)
Source: RNAcentral